GGUGAACGCUGGCGGCGUGCCUAAGACAUGCAAGUCGAGCGGGGCAGGUUUAUACCUGUUCAGCGGCGGACGGGUGAGUAACGCGUGGGUGACCUACCCGGGAGAUGUGGACAACCUGGGGAAACCCAGGCUAAUCAGCCAUGUGGUCCUGUCCUGCGGGGCAGGACUAAAGGGAGGAUAGCUCGCUUCCGGAGGGGCCCGAGUCCCACCAGCUAGGGGGUGGUGGAAAGGCCCAGCAAGGCGACGCCAGGUAGCCGGUCUGAGAGGAUGGCCGGCCACAGGGGCACUGGGACACGGGCGCCACCCCUACGGGGGGCAACAGUUAGGAGGCUUCCGCAAUGGACGGAAGUCAGACGGAGCGAGGCCGCGGGGAGGAGGAAGCCCAGCGGGGUGUAAACGCCUGAACUGGGGACGAAAGCUCUGUGGAUGGUGAGGAGGGUACCCAGGUAAUAGCGCCGGCCAACUCCGUG
This 470-nucleotide ribosomal RNA is filed under the name uncultured bacterium. RNAcentral describes it as "partial 16S ribosomal RNA". It matches the Rfam family "Bacterial small subunit ribosomal RNA", at positions 28 to 507 of the family's 1533-position model. The record is from RNAcentral.